AACAGGAUUAGAUACCCUGGUAGUCCAUGCCGUAAACGUUGGGAACUAGAUGUAGGGGCCAUUCCACGGCUUCUGUGUCGCAGCUAACGCAUUAAGUUCCCCGCCUGGGGAGUACGGCCGCAAGGCUAAAACUCAAAGGAAUUGACGGGGGCCCGCACAAGCGGCGGAGCAUGCGGAUUAAUUCGAUGCAACGCGAAGAACCUUACCAAGGCUUGACAUAUACCGGAAAUGGCUGGAAACAGUCCCCCCGCAAGGUCGGUAUACAGGUGGUGCAUGGUUGUCGUCAGCUCGUGUCGUGAGAUGUUGGGUUAAGUCCCGCAACGAGCGCAACCCUCGUUCUAUGUUGCCAGCACGUAAUGGUGGGAACUCAUAGGAGACUGCCGGGGUCAACUCGGAGGAAGGUGGGGAUGACGUCAAAUCAUCAUGCCCCUUAUGUCUUGGGCUUCACGCAUGCUACAAUGGCCGGUACAAAGGGCUGCAAUACCGUAAGGUGGAGCGAAUCCCAAAAAGCCGGUCUCAGUUCGGAUUGAGGUCUGCAACUCGACCUCAUGAAGUCGGAGUCGCUAGUAAUCGCAGAUCAGCAACGCUGCGGUGAAUACGUUCCCGGGCCUUGUACACGCCGCCCGUCAAGUCAUGAAAGUCGGUAACACCCGAAGCCAGUGGCCCAACCGCAAGGAGGGAGCUGUCGAAGGUGGGAUCGGUGAUUAGGACUAAGUCGUAACAAGGUAACC
RNAcentral lists this ribosomal RNA (731 nucleotides) under uncultured bacterium. Its description in RNAcentral is "bacterial SSU rRNA". It matches the Rfam family "Bacterial small subunit ribosomal RNA", at positions 771 to 1501 of the family's 1533-position model. The record is from RNAcentral.